GAGCGUUGUCCGGAAUUAUUGGGCGUAAAGGGAGCGCAGGCGGACAUAUAAGUCCAUCUUAAAAGUGCGGGGCUCAACCCCGUGAGGGGAUGGAAACUGUAUGCCUUGAGUGCAGGAGAGGAAAGCGGAAUUCCCAGUGUAGCGGUGAAAUGCGUAGAUAUUGGGAGGAACACCAGUGGCGAAGGCGGCUUUCUGGACUGUAACUGACGCUGAGGCUCGAAAGCCAGGGGAGCGAACGGGAUUAGAUACCCCGGUAGUCCUGGCCGUAAACGAUGAAUGCUAGGUGUAGGAGGUAUCGACCCCUCCUGUGCCGGAGUUAACGCAAUAAGCAUUCCGCCUGGGGAGUACGGUCGCAAGACUGAAACUCAAAGGAAUUGACGGGGGCCCGCACAAGCGGUGGAGUAUGUGGUUUAAUUCGACGCAACGCGAAGAACCUUACCAGGGCU
This 446-nucleotide ribosomal RNA is filed under the name uncultured bacterium. Its description in RNAcentral is "bacterial SSU rRNA". It matches the Rfam family "Bacterial small subunit ribosomal RNA", at positions 536 to 981 of the family's 1533-position model. The record is from RNAcentral.